This 379-nucleotide ribosomal RNA is filed under the name uncultured bacterium. RNAcentral describes it as "bacterial SSU rRNA". It matches the Rfam family "Bacterial small subunit ribosomal RNA", at positions 28 to 415 of the family's 1533-position model. The record is from RNAcentral.
GACGAACGCUGGCGGCGUGCUUAACACAUGCAAGUGGAGCGACGAACCAGGGCUUGCCCUGGGGCAGAGCCGCGAACGGGUGAGUAACACGUGGGUUACCUGCCCCGAUGACCGGGACAACCCGAGGAAACUCGGGCUAAUACCGGAUGUGUCCGAAAGGGGAAAGGAAGCUUCGGCCUCCGCAUCGGGAUGGGCCCGCGGCCCAUUAGCUUGUUGGUGAGGUAACGGCUCACCAAGGCUGCGAUGGGUAGCUGGUCUGAGAGGACGAUCAGCCACACUGGGACUGAGACACGGCCCAGACUCCUACGGGAGGCAGCAGUGGGGAAUCUUGCGCAAUGCGCGAAAGCGUGACGCAGCAACGCCGCGUGGGGAAGAAGGC